AUUCUUUGGCUUUUUAUUAUUAGAGUUACAGUCAUACAUAUUUUCAGAAGCUUGUAUUUAAUCUCUAUAAGAAACAAUCAUAUUUAGCAGCAUGCAAAUUACACAUUUGAGAAAACUACGUAUUUCUAUUGGAAGAUCAUGAGGGAGGAAAAUAUAUGGUUCUCCAAAAGAGAAAAAUAAAGAAAAACUCCAUAUUAUGGAGUUGACAAGGUGCUGACGGUGGUGACACAAAUCUGACGGUGGUGACACACUAGUAAAAAACAAGAUAUUAUUUCUUUCAAAAUGACAAUUAAACCUUAACAACUUACAUAAUAUCACAAGACACAUCAUAACAAUUCUGUUUUUGCACAUGUCAAGUUCUACAUCUUAAUAGUUCACCAGCCAGUAGCUGCCUGCUCCUUGAUUCCUAAAGUUCUCUGUGGUUGUGUUUAGACCCUGCUGGACUUUCUCUCCUUUUGUCUCUGUGCUUGUUUCCAAAACCUUCUCUUCUGCCUUUUUUCUUUCUUUCAGAUCACUGAUGUUCUUUAUUUUUCCCUCUUUCACUCUAUUUCUCCAUCUUUCCCUUUAUGAGAAACUCUUUCUUCAACUCAGGCUGGCUGUUAAUUUUUUCUCUCCUUUUUUGAUCAUUCCUGUUCCUUCUCUUUCGUUCCUCUACUGACAGCUUCCCCUUUGCCAUUCUAGCCUGAAACAUACCAUUUUGUAAUUACUAUAAUUUUUCUGAACCAUAUGAAUUCAUUUGGAUUUUAUCUGGCGAACAUGUUUUUUCUCUCAUCUCACGAAUCACUGAUUCACGAGAUUUUCAGAAAACUUUACCUGUAGGAUUCAAACUAAUGGUAUCAAUUUAAAAAUCCUACGUUGCCUCGUUCUCGCAUUGACUUGAGUAUCCACACCGACUGCCUGGCAGGGUGACAAUACCCCAUCAGCCUUUGAGAUGUGAGAAUGUUGUAUAAAGUGCUUUGAAAGGACUUCAAGGAAAAUUUUAAGUUUCGGUGUGAUUUUUAAUGUACGGUUUAUAUAUAGGUGAUGGUUCUGGUUUUCAUUGACCAGUGCCAUGUUCUUAAUAAAGUGCACAUUUUAUGGCAUAAAUUUGCAACAUGUACACUUCAUUUGAGAAGGUUUCUUCAGUUGAUUAAGGCUGGCAGCUCCACUGUUCUCUGUGCGCGUAGAGAAUAAUCUCUUUGUUUUUGUCUCUGGACAGCUUUGGACACCUUCAUCCUCGGUGUCAGAAUCAAGGUUGAUGAUGUCAUCCUUUUCUGAAGACUUGCUUCUGUUCCCCGUUUGACUUGGUUGUAAGUUUGCCAUCUCAUGGUCUUCAUUUUCUUUUUCAGAACCAGAGUCAUUUUUCUCUGCUGACGCAGGCGCUGACAGGUUACUUAACCACUGUUUGGACACGGUCAGAUAGUUACGUCCUGAAUCAGCAGAGUAAUCGGAACUAUCGUCAGUUUCACAACUGUCAUCAGGAGCACUAUGUGACUCCCUAUUUUGUGGUCUCUGAGCUUUAGUCUCAGUUGUGCCCCAGGAAGAAGGCACCAUGAAGGACUGUUGCAUUGUCUCUCUAGAUUGUAUGACUUUUGCUAGAUGAGAAGGUGUU
This is a long non-coding RNA of Astatotilapia calliptera (eastern happy), 1591 nucleotides long. The record is from Ensembl. NCBI's taxonomy places the organism in Eukaryota, Metazoa, Chordata, Actinopteri, Cichliformes, Cichlidae.